UACGUAGGGGGCAAGCGUUGUCCGGAUUUAUUGGGCGUAAAGAGCGUGUAGGCGGCCAUGUAGGUCCGUUGUGAAAACUCGAGGCUCAACCUCGAGACGCCGAUGGAAACCAUGUGGCUAGAGUCCAGAAGAGGAGAGUGGAAUUCCUGGUGUAGCGGUGAAAUGCGCAGAUAUCAGGAAGAACACCCGUGGCUAAGGCGGCUCUCUAGUACGGUACUGACGCUGAGACGCGAAAGCGUGGGGAGCAAACAGG
This 253-nucleotide ribosomal RNA is filed under the name uncultured bacterium. RNAcentral describes it as "partial 16S ribosomal RNA". It matches the Rfam family "Bacterial small subunit ribosomal RNA", at positions 524 to 776 of the family's 1533-position model. The record is from RNAcentral.